This 687-nucleotide ribosomal RNA is filed under the name uncultured bacterium. Its description in RNAcentral is "bacterial SSU rRNA". It matches the Rfam family "Bacterial small subunit ribosomal RNA", at positions 46 to 728 of the family's 1533-position model. The record is from RNAcentral.
GCCUAACACAUGCAAGUCGAGCGGUAGAGAGAAGCUUGCUUCUCUUGAGAGCGGCGGACGGGUGAGUAAUACCUAGGAAUCUGCCUGAUAGUGGGGGAUAACGUUCGGAAACGGACGCUAAUACCGCAUACGUCCUACGGGAGAAAGCAGGGGACCUUCGGGCCUUGCGCUAUCAGAUGAGCCUAGGUCGGAUUAGCUAGUUGGUGAGGUAAUGGCUCACCAAGGCUACGAUCCGUAACUGGUCUGAGAGGAUGAUCAGUCACACUGGAACUGAGACACGGUCCAGACUCCUACGGGAGGCAGCAGUGGGGAAUAUUGGACAAUGGGCGAAAGCCUGAUCCAGCCAUGCCGCGUGUGUGAAGAAGGUCUUCGGAUUGUAAAGCACUUUAAGUUGGGAGGAAGGGCAGUUACCUAAUACGUGAUUGUCUUGACGUUACCGACAGAAUAAGCACCGGCUAACUCUGUGCCAGCAGCCGCGGUAAUACAGAGGGUGCAAGCGUUAAUCGGAAUUACUGGGCGUAAAGCGCGCGUAGGUGGUUUGUUAAGUUGAAUGUGAAAUCCCCGGGCUCAACCUGGGAACUGCAUCCAAAACUGGCAAGCUAGAGUAUGGUAGAGGGUAGUGGAAUUUCCUGUGUAGCGGUGAAAUGCGUAGAUAUAGGAAGGAACACCAGUGGCGAAGGCGACUAC